RNAcentral lists this long non-coding RNA (3656 nucleotides) under Homo sapiens (human). Its description in RNAcentral is "HSALNT0297098". Lineage: Eukaryota; Metazoa; Chordata; Mammalia; Primates; Hominidae. The record is from RNAcentral.
GCCUCAGCCUCCUGAGUAGCCGGACUACAGGCGCCGGCCACCCCACCGCGCUAAUUUUUUUGUAUUUUUUAGUAGAGACGGGGUUUUGUGUCCGGAAUUGGUGGGUUCUUGGUCUCACUGACUUCAAGAAUGAAGCCGCGGACCCUCGCAGUGAGUGCUACAGCUUUUAAGGUGGCGCCUUUGGAGUUUGUUCCUUCUGAUGUUCGGAUGUGUUCGGAGUUUCUUCCUUCUGGUGGGUUCGUGAUCUCGCUGGCUCAGGAGUGAAGCUGCAGACCUUCACGGGGAGUGUUACAGCUCUUAAGGUGGCACAUCUGGAGUUUGUUCCUUCUGACGUUCAGAUGUGUUCGGAGUUUCUUCCUUCUGGUGGGUUCGUGAUCUCGCUGGCUCAGGAGUGAAGCUGCAGACCUUCAGGGGGAGUGUUACAGCUCUUAAGGUGGCGCGUCUGGAGUUUCUUCCUUCUGGUGGGUUCGUGAUCUCGCUGGCUCAGGAGUGAAGCUGCAGACCUUCACGGAUCUCGCUGUGUUGCCCGGGCUGGUCUCAAACUUCUGGACACAAACAAUCCUCCACAUUGGCCUCCCAAAAUGCUGGAAUUACAGGUGUGAGCCACUGGACCAGCAGGACUCUAAAUUUUGGAGAUUGUAAAAUCAGGAAGUAUAUCUAAGUCACCUCCAGUAGCCGUAACUCUACCUUGUCCAGUAAAAGUGCUGCUUGUUGCUGACGUUUCUGCCCAAACAUCAUGAAAUGUGGAGAAGAAAGAACACUCAGAUGUGCCCUGGAGACUUUCCUUUUAUUUUUAAACAGGUACAUCCUGAAAUUAUGUUAGAGUGCCUGCAAUCUGUCUGGAAUUCAGACUAUUACCCUUCUGGAUUCACUAAAACUAUACUCUUAAUCUGUACUGGGAAGUUCUAUACUGUUGCUUUAAUCCUUGGUGCUGUUUAUUUCAACCAAGAUACACCUUGAAGACAAUCUGCCUGCAACACUCAUAAUCCCUGAAUGGAUAGCACCCAAUAAAAGAGAGAACAUCAUUGCCAAUUUUUUCUUCUAUCCAAGUCCUCCUCUGUCUUUAUACCUUAUUUGACCUGAAUAUCUUAUCUUUCCGUGUUAAAUGCUCUUCUCUCUUGACCUCUAGAUCACUGUACUCUCUGGGGUCUGCCUCUGUUUCCCUAAUAUUUUCCGCUUUAAAUUGUCCACAUCUGCUCAUGCUUCAAUUGAUGCCCUCUUUUUAAAAAUUCUGUCCUUAGCCAUCAUUUCUCUCUAAGUUCUACUUAAUAAUAACCUUAGACAUUUUUGUGAUUUUAUCUUUUAUUUCUAUGCAUAUUUUUUUACCAAAUGCAUACUUCUAGAUGUGAUCCCCCUCAUAUUUUUCAGAACAUAUAUAGUUCAUUGACAUUAUUUUCAAAGAUACAUCAACAGCACCCCAAAUUAAACAUGUACAAAAAUAUUUGUCUUCUCCACAAAUAUGUUCUCAUUUGAAUAUUUACUGCCAUUGCUGUUGGAGGAUACCUCUAAAGAACCCUGGAAGAAAAUAUCAGUGUUAGUCACAAUUUCUUAUAUUUUUCAUCUCUGUAGUCAAGAAGUAAAUCACCAUAUCAUAGAGAAUUGUGAAGGAUCUGAGAUUUUAUCAUCUUACAAGCUAACAGGUUAGCUGGCUACAAUUUCACAGAUUCUGCAGAAGACACAGGACUCCAGGAUCAGACACAAAGAACUUUGCUACUCAUGGCACAGCAGGUAGCAUGAGCUUCAUGUUCACACCAGUUUCCUUUGACUCCUCAGUCACAUUGGAGUGGUGCAGAGAAAACUCAGGUGGAUGCUGGACACACAGUGAGUUUGUUUCACAGUCAAAGAAUUCUGAUCUUUGGAAACCCAAAUCUUUUAUAAGGUAUAUGCAACCAAAAGCACCAAGUCUUUGCCCUGACGGGAGACACCGUCUCUAUCUGUAAGGAGAUAGAAGAGGACAAAGGGAAUAAGUAUCUCUGUUCUAAAACAUGUAGGAAUACAAGAAACAUGUAAAGAAUAUUCUCCCUAUACUUAUCGUACCUGCUGUAUCUUCUGUUCCUCAUUUCUAAAUAGCUGUGUGAAACUGGACAAAUUACUUACCUUCAUUGUCCCACAAUUUUUUAUGUGUUAAUGGGAAUAAUAAUAGUACCUAAAACACAGAGCUAUUAUGAUUUUUCAAAGAGUUAAUAUGUCUAAAGUUUCUGUGGUAAAGGCUGGCACAUUAUUAAAUGCUAUUUAAGUCAUUAUUAAAUAACUGAAUAAGUACUUAUUACUAUUAUCAUCAUCAUAUUUACUGUUCCUUUUCCAUUUUGUUUGCCACUGGCACUUAGCUUCUCCCUUGUCUACUGCAGUAUAGUCUUACUGUGAUUCUGCACCCAGACUCUCACCUCCCCCAUUUACUCUUUGUGCAGUUUCCAAAGCUUAUUUCCUAAAAUAAGUAUCAGUGAUGUCCACUUGAUUCUUCCAGAAAUUUUAGAUGAUUCCAGGUUGCAGACAGAAACUGGCCUGCAGUAUGGAAUUCAGGAUCCUUCUCAACAUGACUUUUUGGUAGUCUCUUUCCCCUUUAGACUUCCGUAGUUUAGACUUUCUGUAUUUUAUGAAGAGAUUAGGCACAUCUAGGCAUCCACAAAUUUGAUCCUGCUGUUCCCUCAGUCAGAAACCCUUUUAUCUUUACCUGUGAAAAUUCUUGUAAUGUUACUGAUGUCAGUUCAUGCUAUUGCUUCCCCAAACUUCUUGCAAGCACACACUCUGCCUGGCUUAUCUUUCAAUACUCUCUUGGUUGUAAAAAUCAUUUUUAGCAACACAAGUAUCAUAUUCAUCAUCCAUCCACUUUCCUUAUAUUCUUCCUCUUUAACUUUCUACCCAUCUAGUUCCUUUGUCUUUGCUUGUCAACAUAUCCUGGUCAUUCUCUUCAUUCAUAUGAACUGACUUAGCAGGCUCACUUUCCUGCAGCUUUAGGUUCUGCAUAGAUGGCUUCCUUGUGGACAUCUAAUUUGGGCUGAUCCAGGAUGAACACUGCCCUAUACUGCUUCCCCUCUAAUACUGCUGAGUUCUGUCUUUGAGGUUGAGGCCUUACAAGUCCAGAAACAAAUCAUCAAUGCCUCAUAGUCCUACCCUUCACCGUGUAGGAGGCUUAUCGUCUUGAUAAUCAAACAAAAAGCCCAGCAUCAAAAAGUCACCUGUGGUCAAAGCUGCAAAUACUAAGGAAAUGUUUUGGUGAGCAUGAAUAAAAAAAGGCAUAUUACUUCCUCCAUUUAGCCUGUGCCAAUUAAGACUGUGUAGGAGGAGAUUUAUUGCAAUUAAAUAAUUUAAAAUAUUAUGUAUAAUUUCAGUUAAUUGAGCAAAAAUGUAACAGCAUUCAAGAGAAAAGAGCAAAGGAAAAACCAAUGUAAAAUUUAAAAGUAUAUACAGUCUAUAUAUUGAUCUGGGUUUAUAAAGGGAUUUAAAUUGCAGUUCUAAAUUUAUUUAGUUUUAUAUUUCAAUUGCACAUCUGUUUCUCGUUUUCAUGGAACAUGUUUCAAUCUCAGAGUGAAAGAUUUCCUGAAAAUCAUAAGAUUUAUGUUUACUGUGUUCCUUAUAAAACCAAACUCAUGACAAGUGAUGGUCAAUAAGUGGUCUUUGUUGCAUUAAAUAAAAAGAAUCUGUGAACUUUGAAUGCU